UACGGAGGGUGCAAACGUUGCUCGGAAUCAUUGGGCGUAAAGCGCGUGUAGGCGGUUUGUUAAGUCGCGUGUGAAAGCCCUGGGCUUAACCCAGGAAUUGCGCGCGAAACUGGCAAGCUCGAGGUCGGGAGAGGGUAGCGGAAUUCCCGGUGUAGAGGUGAAAUUCGUAGAUAUCGGGAGGAACACCAGUGGCGAAGGCGGCUACCUGGACCGAUACUGACGCUGAGACGCGAAAGCGUGGGGAG
Molecule: ribosomal RNA, 245 nt
Filed under: uncultured bacterium
Lineage: Bacteria
Description: partial 16S ribosomal RNA
Rfam family: Bacterial small subunit ribosomal RNA
Source: RNAcentral